This 367-nucleotide long non-coding RNA is filed under the name Ictidomys tridecemlineatus (thirteen-lined ground squirrel). RNAcentral describes it as "lncRNA (ENSSTOG00000030458.1)". The record is from RNAcentral. Lineage: Eukaryota; Metazoa; Chordata; Mammalia; Rodentia; Sciuridae.
UGCAUUCUGUGAACUUAAUUCUGUUCAAUGUGUCUCCUCUGUCUUCUCAGGCCCAGGAGGAUCUUACAGCCAGGGAGACCUGCAAGGCUGGAUUCUCAGAAGAAGGUUACACGGCAUUAAUCUCCCCAGAUAUUCUGCAAGGAGAGAGGCUGCUCAAAGGUCCCCAGCGCUGGCUUUCCACGGGGUGCAAGUGGUUAACAGAAAACAAAGGGACGUCAGGUGGAGGUGGUCUGCGGAUGGGGCGUGAACCUGGCUGGCCAGGCUGCUCUGAGCUGGCUCUGGCACUCAGGACACCCUGCGUGGGAGGACAGCCCUUCUCCCCCCCUUGGACACGUGGCUCAGGAAGUGAAGCACGUCUGACCAAGAG